RNAcentral lists this ribosomal RNA (474 nucleotides) under uncultured soil bacterium. Its description in RNAcentral is "bacterial SSU rRNA". It matches the Rfam family "Bacterial small subunit ribosomal RNA", at positions 26 to 518 of the family's 1533-position model. The record is from RNAcentral.
AGGACGAACGCUGGCGGCGUGCUUAACACAUGCAAGUCGAGCGGUAAGGCCUUUCGGGGUACACGAGCGGCGAACGGGUGAGUAACACGUGGGUGAUCUGCCCUGCACUCUGGGAUAAGCCUGGGAAACUGGGUCUAAUACCGGAUAUGACCUGCUCUCGCAUGGGGGGUGGGUGGAAAGAUUUAUCGGUGCAGGAUGGGGCCCGCGGCCUAUCAGCUUGUUGGUGGGGUAAUGGCCUACCAAGGCGACGACGGGUAGCCGACCUGAGAGGGUGACCGGCCACGACUGGGACUGAGACACGGCCCAGACUCCUACGGGAGGCAGCAGUGGGAAUAUGCACAAUGGGCGAAAGCCUGAUGCAGCGACGCCGCGUGAGGAUGAAGGCCUUCGGGUUGUAAACCGUCUUUCAGCAGGACGAAGCGCAAGUGACGGUACCUGCAGAAGAAGCACCGCUAACUACGUGCCAGCAGCCGC